AAACAUUGUACGAAAGAAAUUCAUAUAAUGUUUGAAAUUUGACUCAUAUUUGAAAUCUAGAAAUGAAAGCCCUCAUACGGCCUGGCAACACAUCUUAUAAAUCCAAAUUAUCCAUCUUAUAAUAAGCCUUUGUCCCAUAACACAUGCCCAGCCCCAUAUGCUUGAGCUCUCUACUAUGUACCGCAAGGACCAGCUGGCCGAAUGGACUUUGAGGGUAGUCACCAACAAAAUAAGGCAAAUUCGAUCAUUCUUAUUGCAAUUUACAAACUAGUACAAAACAGACUAAAAAAAGCUAGUACAGAACAGAAACGACCGAACUGCAAACAUGUCCAUAACCCACCAACAACAAACGGAUACAAAAGAGUUAAGAACCAAGUUAUUGGGUUGCUGUAUAUGCACAAAGCCUAAUUGAUACCUCCUCUACUAAUGUAAAUGUUAGUGAUGUUGCUACAAUGAACACAAAAGCAGUCCCAAUGCUCCCUUAUUAACCAUGCAUCAUAUCUUUCAACGUGGUUGGUGAAUUUGGUGAUUGCGUCGAGCCACACCCUUUGGGCUCCCGCAGUGGGCUGUCUUCAUUUGGUACUUGCCUGGCUUCACCGGAGAUUUCACACUCCUUUCUUUGGGUGAUUUUGGUAUGCUCAGUUCCUUGAGUACCCCGUUCACAUCCAUUUUAACGCCAUUGAGAGGCUUCUUCUUCUCCUCUUUCUCUUCAUUCAAAAUGACCAGCUCCUCAAACUGAGCUACAAGAUUACCAAACUCAUCAUCAAAACCGAUGUCGAACUUCUCCGGCAACAAUUCCUCAACGUCAUCGUUACCAUUAGCACUACCGUCAAAGCUCCCCUCUGGAUGUUGGCUCAGCCAGUAGUCACGAAACCACGUCGAAGUUUUCACCAGCUCCCACCACUCCGGAGAAAAAUCCUCCACUUGACGGUACACGGAAGGAAUGAAGACCGGAGCAUUCGGAUUCAGUGUAGAUCUCUGUCCCGCGACCAAAGCCAUCGCUUUUUCAACAAGCAAGAGUAAGUUAUCGUCCGAUCUGAAGAAGAGCGUUACGUUGACCUUGUACGGUAAGCUCCUGUCAGUGAUGUUCGUGCGCAGUUUCUAGAAAGUGGAAAGCGCAGCAGGUGAUAUAUUAUAGUUGCAGAUGGAUAAGGAUAGAGAAAUACAAAAAUGGCAGCCGGUCGGUGACUUUAAUGGACACGUGGACACUGAAAGACGGAUAAUAGAUUAGAUCGGGUAACACAAUCCACGGUGGAUAGCGAUUAGCGCUCAUCACACGGCUGGAGUUGGAUGCAGAGUUGGUGUCUUUUGAAAGCCCAAGUUAGGCCCGGUCCACAAGAGAGCAAUUUCAAACUCCACCCGAUUCGGAAGAAUCUGGCGCGAUUUCUGAUCCCUAUCCGCAUCAAAACCCUAUUAGUAAAACCUCCGUUUCUCCGAUAUCCCCAAACCCAGUAAAAACCCAGAUAAUCUAUUCCCCAUAAUCCCACAAAUGCAGAACCAGAACCGGGUGUUUUGCCCCGAAAACGAAGAGCUCGUAUCCUUCAUGUUGCAGAAGAGGCAAGAAUUGGCUGAAAGGCCUGAAGGGAUAUCAGAGAACAUAGACAUGAUUCUUUCUAAGGCUUACAACAGUGUGUGUAGCUCAAAGACUCCAAUCAAAACUCUCAAGGACUUAUCUCAGAUUAAGGGUGUAGGUAAAUGGAUUCUGAAAUUAAUGCAAGGGUUUUUUGAUGGUGGUUCAGGAAUUUCUGAGCCAGAAGACUUGACCAAAAAGGUUAAGAGAGCCAAAGGAACAAAACGCUAUGUGCCACAAAAAAAUUCUGUUGCGUAUGCAUUGCUGAUUACCCUUUACAGGGGAACUUCAAAUGGCAAUGAAUUUAUGCGUAAACAGGAGCUUAUUGAUGCAGCUGAAGCUAGUGGGCUAUCUCGGGUUUCUAUUUUGCAGGAAAAAGGAAAAGGGAAACCUGGACAAUUUGGAAGUUCUUCCAGGGACUGGUAUAGUGGGUGGAGUUGCAUGAAGACAUUGAUAUGCAAAGGAUUAGUUGUUAAAUCAAGUUGCCCUGCAAAGUACAUGCUGACUGAGGAAGGGCAGGAAGCAGCUCGUGAAUGUCUUUUGAGAUCUCGUUUGUUGGAUCCUAGAGAAGGUUCAGCUAAUGUAGAGGUUUCUUCUGAUGUGGACAUGGAUAAUGCAUCAGAUCUAGAGUCUGCUCACCCUGGUUCAACUUCUUUAGUGAUAUCUUCAUCUGUUGGUUUAAGCAGGAAGAAGAAAUCAAUUGAUGUUCCUCUAGAAUCUCUUGAGAGGUUUAUGCGCAUGGGAUACACUAAGGAACAAGUACUUCAUGCUGUAACUGAAGUUUCAGAGACUUCCCACAACAAGGAGAUUUCUUUGCUUUGGCCAGCAGUUCUUUGUCGUCUUCGAGAAGAUCAAGUUUAUGGUCUCCAUUCAGAACCUCAAACCCUGAGAAAGGAUUGUCAAGCUAAGUCUACGGCUCACACAUUUACAAAUGGUAGUAAACUUACCUUAUAGAUGCUAUUCGUCCUCUAACUAUUCUUUAACCAUAUGGAUGCUUGUAAUCAUUCAGUUCAAGUAGACCUUGUUGGUAAUCAGAGUGUUGGGAUGGAUUUGACUUCUGAUGAUGGAAAUAUUCCAAAUUUGCAUUCUGUCUGUUCUGCACCUGAUGCAUUUACCUUGAGAACUUGUUCAUCAUCUGGUUCUGCUGCGAAGAAGCUGAGUUUGGGUGGCCUGGAAGCAAACAUGAAUAUUUUACGCAUGCCGCCUCUGAACUUAGGGGAGAGAUUUGAGGAUGUGUAUGAAGUAAUAUUGAUACUGGAUGACAGAGAGCAUUAUGCCAUUCAGGGGUCAAAGUACAGUAAACUUAUUGAGAGCAUUUGCAAAGAACAUAAAAUUAAAAUAGUGGUUAGGCGGUUACCUGUUGGAGAUGGAAUCUGGAUAGCUCGCCAUAAGUAUCUGUUCUGUGAAUACGUGCUUGAUUUUAUUGUUGAGAGAAAGAAAGUUGAUGACUUGCGCUCUUCAAUCAGGGAUCAUCGCUAUAAAGAUCAGAAACUGAGGCUUCUGGUUGCAUUUCUCGCUGUUUUCUCUUUUUCUUCAUUUUAAUCCCUGAUAAUAUUUUAUAUAUUUAUUAUUUUUGGUUUACCAUUUUAGCAGUUGAUAACUGGGUCUGGAUGGUUGUUAAGUUCCUAUUCUUAUUUGUUGUGGAUAUGACUAGUUAUAGGCCUCUUGAUUUUUUUUUUUCCUAUAAAUCCACUGGGGAAUUUGAAUUUUUCACCAUUUUAAUGCCUAUAUAAUUUCACAUUUUUGUUUCACUAUUGCAAAGUUAAAAUAGCACAAAGGUCACAAUGAUAAUUUGGAAUUUUUGUUCCCAUUGGAAAUCAAAAUAGCUUGUGAAAAUCACAAAACAUGCUUUUUCUGACACAAUGUGGGUUACUUUUAAAGUUUUGGUGGUACAGGUAUUUAGUAGUUGUAAUAGCACAAUUUUGUUAGUGUGAAAUGUGUAAAUCAUUUAUUUUGAUUAUAGUAUUUCAUAAUGACAUUCAUGCAUUAAUCUGCAUGUUUUUAGAGAUGUGGACUUAAGAAGCUGAUAUAUCUUGUGGAAGGUGAUCCAAAUUCCUGUGAAGCAGCUGAAAGCAUCAAAACAGCGUAAUCUCUUUUUCCCCCUCUUUCGUAACUGUCAAUAUUUUGAAUUCUAUUCCUUGAGAAUGGUUAACUGGUAAUUGUUGAUCUUAUAGUACAAAUUUAUUACUUUCAGGAUUUUAUGAUUACUGGAUUCUACUGUUCAUUAUAUUGUUAUAUGCAGUUGUUUUACGACAGAGAUUCUGGAAGGAUUUGAUGUGCAGAGAACAAGUUGCCUGCGUGAUACACUGAAGAAGUAUGGUUAUCUCACUCACUCAAUAACUCAAUACUAUGGAUCACAGCUGCCUGAGUAUGAGCCAAACUGUGCUGGGGUCUGUCCUCCUUUUGAUGAAUUUAUCAAAAGGUGCCAAGACCUGGACAAAAUGACAGUCUGUGAUGUAUUUGCCAUUCAGCUCAUGCAGGUUCCACAAGUAACAGAGGAAAUUGCCAUUGCUGUUCUAGAUCUGUAUCCAACACUUGUAUCUCUUGCCCGUGCCUAUUCUCUGCUUGUGAGUUCUUACUUUCUACUUGGGGACUUUCUUGAGCAAAAUAAUGAUAAUCUAUUAGAAUGUGGUUUUCACAGUUAAAAAAAAAGCAGGGAAAUUUUAACUUAUUCACUGACCGGCAUAUGGUUUGGGCCCAUUCAUGGUCUUGAAUUUAGUGAUUUGACGGGGAUAAAUGACACAAUAUGUUACUACCAUCUCAACGAAUUUCUACUGUGGCCUGCAUGCACAUAUCUGCUUAGUGCUUAGGCUCAAUGUUAUAUCUAAAGAUUCACAUGGUUUCAUUGAUUAUCUUUCUUGUAUUUAUUUGUGACUUGGUGAACUUUAUUUGCCAAAUUUCUCCUUAUUUUAUCUACUUUAACAUCAACUUUUUGCCUUGAAAGGAUGGUGAUGUCUGUGCACAAGAGGAGAUGCUUAGGAAGCAGAGUAACAAUGCUAUUAGUGCA
RNAcentral lists this unclassified non-coding RNA (4577 nucleotides) under Hevea brasiliensis (rubber tree). The record is from RNAcentral. Lineage: Eukaryota; Viridiplantae; Streptophyta; Magnoliopsida; Malpighiales; Euphorbiaceae.